Molecule: ribosomal RNA, 246 nt
Filed under: uncultured bacterium
Lineage: Bacteria
Description: partial 16S ribosomal RNA
Rfam family: Bacterial small subunit ribosomal RNA
Source: RNAcentral
CACGCCCUAAACGAUCUUCUCUAGGUUUUCGGAGUAUCGACCCUCUGAGAGCCACAGCUAACGCGUUAAGAGAAGCGCCUGGGUAGUACGACCGCAAGGUUAAAACUCAAAGGAAUAGACGGGGACUUGCACAAGCGGAGGAUCAUGUGGUUUAAUUCGAUAACAAACGAAGAACCUUACCAGGGUUAGAAAUCUAGUUGAAGAAUAGGAGAAACCUUAUUCGCCGCAAGGCAAUUAGACAGGUGA